This 449-nucleotide ribosomal RNA is filed under the name uncultured bacterium. RNAcentral's name for it is "partial 16S ribosomal RNA". It matches the Rfam family "Bacterial small subunit ribosomal RNA", at positions 29 to 523 of the family's 1533-position model. The record is from RNAcentral.
AACGAACGCUGGCGGCAUGCCUAACACAUGCAAGUCGAACGAAGCCUUCGGGCCUAGUGGCGCACGGGUGCGUAACGCGUGGGAAUCUGCCCUUUGGUUCGGAAUAACAGUUGGAAACGACUGCUAAUACCGGAUGAUGACGAAAGUCCAAAGAUUUAUCGCCAGAGGAUGAGCCCGCGUAGGAUUAGCUAGUUGGUGUGGUAAAGGCGCACCGAGGCGACGAUCCUUAGCUGGUCUGAGAGGAUGAUCAGCCACACUGGGACUGAGACACGGCCCAGACUCCUACGGGAGGCAGCAGUGGGGAAUAUUGGACAAUGGGCGAAAGCCUGAUCCAGCAAUGCCGCGUGAGUGAUGAAGGCCCUAGGGUUGUAAAGCUCCUUUACCCGGGAUGAUAAUGACAGUACCGGGAGAAUAAGCCCCGGCUAACUCCGUGCCAGCAGCCGCGGUAA